Molecule: long non-coding RNA, 269 nt
Filed under: Lathyrus oleraceus (garden pea)
Lineage: Eukaryota; Viridiplantae; Streptophyta; Magnoliopsida; Fabales; Fabaceae
Description: Pisum sativum (pea) long non-coding RNA (PSAT_LNC004210)
Source: RNAcentral
AUAUUCUCCAUGGAAUUGUUAUGCUACAGGUUUUCUUAUUUAUCUUGGAUGCGCAUAAUGGUUACAAUAUCUUACAAUAAUUAAUGGCGCUUAUGAAAGUGGUGUUUGUAUGCAUGUAUUGUUAUUCAAUAGCCAUAUGUCACAAUAGAAACACCAAAAACCCUUUUCCUUUUUACUUCUUUUUGGACCUCUUUCUUUAGGUAUGCGUUACUUUUCUUUUGGAUAAUCUAUUAUAGAUCUAUUCAGUUUCAUCUAUUUCAAUUGAUAAU